UCGGGACGUGGCGCAGUUUGGUAGCGCACUUGACUGGGGGUCAAGGGGUCGUCGGUUCGAAUCCGGCCUCCCGAC
RNAcentral lists this transfer RNA (75 nucleotides) under Salinispora arenicola. RNAcentral's name for it is "tRNA-Pro". It matches the Rfam family "tRNA". From Rfam's summary of the family: Transfer RNA (tRNA) molecules are approximately 80 nucleotides in length. Their secondary structure includes four short double-helical elements and three loops (D, anti-codon, and T loops). Lineage: Bacteria; Bacillati; Actinomycetota; Actinomycetes; Micromonosporales; Micromonosporaceae. The record is from RNAcentral.